RNAcentral lists this unclassified non-coding RNA (227 nucleotides) under Quercus infectoria subsp. veneris. Its description in RNAcentral is "partial internal transcrobed spacer 1". The stretch from base 1 to 43 matches the Rfam family "Eukaryotic small subunit ribosomal RNA". The record is from RNAcentral. Lineage: Eukaryota; Viridiplantae; Streptophyta; Magnoliopsida; Fagales; Fagaceae.
UCGUAACAAGGUUUCCGUAGGUGAACCUGCGGAAGGAUCAUUACAGAGCGUGAGGCUCAGUCGUGGCAUCGCUGCGUCCUCGCCCCCCCCUGCGGGYRGGGACCUCGCGUCUCCUGCCCGCAAACCGAACCCCGGCGCGGAACGCGCCAAGGAAAUCUAACCAAGAGAGCCAUCCCGGAGGCCCCGGACACGGUGCGCCCCCGGCGUCGGCGUCUUAUGAAUUAUUC